AUUCCAGCUCCAAGAGCGUAUAUUAAAGUUGUUGCAGUUAAAAAGCUCGUAGUUGGAUUUCUGGUCUAAUGCGCCUGGCCCGCUGCCGUUAGGUAUGUGAGUGCCGGUGCGCGUUUACCAUCCUUCCAGAGAACACUUCUACCAUUUAUUUGGACGGAUGUUGUCUUCUGGAUCUUUUACUUUGAAAAAAUUAGAGUGUUUAAAGCAGGCCUUUGCUGUGAAUACAUUAGCAUGGAAUAAUAAGAUAGGACUCUGGUUCUAUUUUGUUGGUUGGAGGCCAAGGUAAUGAUUAAUAGGGAUAGUUGGGGGUAUUCAUAUUUAAUUGUCAGAGGUGAAAUUCUUGGAUUUAUGAAAGAUGAACUUAUGCGAAAGCAUUUACCAAGGAUGUUUUCAUCA
RNAcentral lists this ribosomal RNA (396 nucleotides) under Eukaryota sp. Its description in RNAcentral is "partial small subunit ribosomal RNA". It matches the Rfam family "Eukaryotic small subunit ribosomal RNA", at positions 582 to 975 of the family's 1831-position model. The record is from RNAcentral.